GACAGAGGUCCCGAGCGUUAGGCGGAAUCACUGGGCUUAAAGCGUGUGUAGGCGGAUCGUUAAGUACCUUGUGAAAUCCCACGGCUUAACCGUGGAACUGCUUGGUAUACUGGCGAUCUUGAGCCACUUAGGGGCUACCGGAACAAAUGGUGGAGCGGUGAAAUGCGUAGAUAUCAGGAGGAACACCUGUGGUGUAGACAGCUUGCUGGACCAUUUCUGACACUGAGACACGAAAGCGUGGGUAGCAAACAGG
RNAcentral lists this ribosomal RNA (253 nucleotides) under uncultured bacterium. RNAcentral's name for it is "partial 16S ribosomal RNA". It matches the Rfam family "Bacterial small subunit ribosomal RNA", at positions 524 to 776 of the family's 1533-position model. The record is from RNAcentral.